RNAcentral lists this ribosomal RNA (305 nucleotides) under uncultured bacterium. RNAcentral's name for it is "bacterial SSU rRNA". It matches the Rfam family "Bacterial small subunit ribosomal RNA", at positions 333 to 652 of the family's 1533-position model. The record is from RNAcentral.
UGGGGCCUACGGGGGGCAGCAGUGGGGAAUAUUGGGCAAUGGGCGCAAGCCUGACCCAGCAACGCCGCGUGAAGGAAGAAGGCUUUCGGGUUGUAAACUUCUUUUCUCAGGGACGAAGAAAGUGACGGUACCUGAGGAAUAAGCCACGGCUAACUACGUGCCAGCAGCCGCGGUAAUACGUAGGUGGCAAGCGUUAUCCGGAUUUACUGGGUGUAAAGGGCGUGUAGGCGGGACUGCAAGUCAGAUGUGAAAACCACGGGCUCAACCUGUGGCCUGCAUUUGAAACUGUAGUUCUUGAGUACUGG